This 432-nucleotide ribosomal RNA is filed under the name uncultured bacterium. RNAcentral describes it as "partial 16S ribosomal RNA". It matches the Rfam family "Bacterial small subunit ribosomal RNA", at positions 29 to 507 of the family's 1533-position model. The record is from RNAcentral.
ACGAACGCUGGCGGCAUGCCUAACACAUGCAAGUCGAACGAGACCUUCGGGUCUAGUGGCGCACGGGUACGUAACGCGUGGGAACCUGCCCUUAGGUUCGGAAUAACUCCCCGAAAGGGGUGCUAAUACCGGAUAAUGUCUUCGGACCAAAGAUUUAUCGCCUUUGGAUGGGCCCGCGUUGGAUUAGCUAGUUGGUAGGGUAAAAGCCUACCAAGGCGACGAUCCAUAGCUGGUCUGAGAGGAUGAUCAGCCACACUGGGACUGAGACACGGCCCAGACUCCUACGGGAGGCAGCAGUGGGGAAUAUUGGACAAUGGGCGAAAGCCUGAUCCAGCAAUGCCGCGUGAGUGAUGAAGGCCUUAGGGUUGUAAAGCUCUUUUACCCGGGAUGAUAAUGACAGUACCGGGAGAAUAAGCUCCGGCUAACUCCGUG